Lolium rigidum is the source of this 1801-nucleotide long non-coding RNA. RefSeq lists it as uncharacterized. Lineage: Eukaryota; Viridiplantae; Streptophyta; Magnoliopsida; Poales; Poaceae. The record is from RefSeq and is a predicted model, not a curated record. The transcript is spliced from 3 exons.
UUUAGCGACCGCCACCGCUGAUCGAUGCAUGGUCGCGGUUGGGAGGAGUAUGAAGCGCCGAUCCAAGCACUGCAAAUCAGAGUUAGAGCUGCGCUGGGGAAGCACGCAUUAUGUGCGGCGGGAAGGUACAAAAGAGGAGCAGAUUUUCUCCACCUACUCGGAGUAUUUGACUACCAGCUUGGCGUCCUAGCUCAUUAUCAGCAAUAAGCCAUUUGAGAGUGAGUGUCGCCAUGCUAUCAGGUUGAGGCGAAUUGCCAAAGUUUUCAGCAGAAAAAACAUCACUAAAGCUAUUUGAUGGCCAUAGUGAUGGGUAGUGAAUACCGCUGAUAAAUUGCAAUAUCCACAACUUUCAGUCACGCGGGCUAUAUAAAUUAAGUUGCAGAAACUGAACACCACUAAGGUAGAAGGAAGUAAAGAGAAGACUAAAGGAAAAGAAGAAAUUACCGCCGGCAGCCCCGUCAGGAACCUCCUCGACAGAGCGUUUGCCUAAACUUAUGUCCCGCCUCCGAGACUUGGCAUCAAAGAGUAAAGGAUAGACAUGAGGUCGCACACGCUGAUGACCUGAUCCGCGGCCUACACCUUGGACAGGUUGCAUGACAGGCAAAGAACCAGCAUGAGGCAAAGCAGCAGCCCCAAAAGGUUCACGAUCAGAGCCAGCAGAAGUAAGAGCAGCAGCUGAACCAACAGCUGGGGCGGCAACACGGCGAAUCGGCGAAGGGCAGCACAGGAGUGUCGUCCGCUCCUGCAAGAACCGCGGCCUGCCGGCCGAGGAAGCAACUCACCCAGGCCACGCCGGCAGGAACUGGCGGGGAAGCCGGUGGGAUGGAAGGCGAAGGCUUCGGUAAAGACGGCAGGUGAGCAGGAGCAGGGGGUCAACUGUGAAGAGUAGGGCGCCGCGGCAAGAGUGGACGGAGCGGCGGCGGCGCUGGAGCCGGCCGCCGUCGCCCACGGCCAGGAGCAGCAUGCCACUCAUACAGAAACCUGCAACAAAACAGAUGAAGUGAGGCUGGACGAAGAAACGGAGGAGAAAAAAAGCAGAAGCAAACGAUGAGAUUGGAAAUCUAAUCAGGAGUGAAGAAGAACGCAAGGAACCCUAGGAAGAACGGACUCUCCGAUGUGGAGCCGCAAACGUAGGAGCCGAUAAAUUAGGCCCACAAAGUAGGAGGAACGGAGGAAAUAGCCACGUAAAAAGAUACGUGGCAGUUGGAUAGUAGAGGAAGUUCUCAGAAGGGGCAUGCAGAACCGGUCAACACCGGUGAAACCGGCAAAGAGCCUGAAUGAAAAAAGAGGCAACCGCUGCAAAAAAAUAGGAUCCACCUACUGCUCCCGCUAUCUGCCGGUAAAUAUGGAAUUGUAGAAAGAAAAAGAAUGAAGAGAAAAGGAAACAGACUCCCGUAUGUGCAGGAAACAGCGUUGCAUGAAUAGGACAGGAACCUGACGUGUUUAAAUCUGAAUGGUGAAAACGGAGGAGGUAACAGUACCCAAAACUUUCUCAUCAAAGCAGAUGGGGUUAGCUUUUAGAUAGGUAAUAAUAUUGGGCUGCCUGAGCCUGCCGUACGGCAGAUCGAUACCCCAAAAGACAAAUUAAAAUGGCAUCAAGAAAAAAUUGUAUGAUUAGACCAGCUCAAAAGUCUAUCAAAAACUGCUAUUUCAGCUCAGCCUGUAGCCUUUCGUCUAACUACCUCGCGAUCUCACUCACGAACACAGAGGACAGAGACAAAGGUUUUUGUGCUGCGAACGACUUGCAGCUUUUAUGUUUCGUUCUUCCUUUUAUUCAUGCAAGGACUGAUCGUGCUGAUCA